RNAcentral lists this ribosomal RNA (512 nucleotides) under uncultured bacterium. RNAcentral describes it as "partial 16S ribosomal RNA". It matches the Rfam family "Bacterial small subunit ribosomal RNA", at positions 28 to 523 of the family's 1533-position model. The record is from RNAcentral.
GACGAACGCUGGCGGCGUGCCUAAUACAUGCAAGUCGAGCGAAUCAAUAGGAGCUUGCUCCUGUUGGUUAGCGGCGGACGGGUGAGUAACACGUGGGCAACCUGCCUGUAAGACUGGGAUAACACCGGGAAACCGGUGCUAAUACCGGAUAAUCCUUUUCCUCUCAUGAGGAAAAGCUGAAAGUCGGUUUCGGCUGACACUUACAGAUGGGCCCGCGGCGCAUUAGCUAGUUGGUGAGGUAAUGGCUCACCAAGGCGACGAUGCGUAGCCGACCUGAGAGGGUGAUCGGCCACACUGGGACUGAGACACGGCCCAGACUCCUACGGGAGGCAGCAGUAGGGAAUCUUCCACAAUGGACGAAAGUCUGAUGGAGCAACGCCGCGUGAGCGAUGAAGGCCUUCGGGUCGUAAAGCUCUGUUGUUAGGGAAGAACAAGUACCGGAGUAACUGCCGGUACCUCGACGGUACCUAACCAGAAAGCCACGGCUAACUACGUGCCAGCCGCCGCUGUAA